RNAcentral lists this ribosomal RNA (494 nucleotides) under uncultured bacterium. RNAcentral describes it as "partial 16S ribosomal RNA". It matches the Rfam family "Bacterial small subunit ribosomal RNA", at positions 28 to 507 of the family's 1533-position model. The record is from RNAcentral.
GACGAACGCUGGCGGCGCGCUUAACACAUGCAAGUCGAACGGAAAGGCCUUCUUUCCCUUGUGUAUUGCGGGGACUCGAGUGGCCAACGGGUGAGUAACACGUGAGCUAUCUUUUCCCAACUUGUGUAUAAGCCUGGGAUACUGGGUCUAAUUCCCGAUAGGACUGCAGGGUGGUGCCUGUGGUGGGAACCGAUGUUCUUGUGGUUGGGGAUGAGCUGGUGGCCUUUCAGCUUGUUGGUGGGGUAAUGGCCUACCGAGGCGGCGACGGGUAGCCGGCCUGGGAGAGUGGACGGCAGAAUUGGGACUGAGACACGGCCCCGACUACAGGGGGAAGAAGCAGAGGGGAGUCAUGCGCAGUGAGCGGGAGCCUGAGGGAGCGAGGCUGAGUGGGGGACGACGGCGUUGGGGUUGUAAACUGCUGGGGACCACGAGCAGGCGACCUGGUUGGAGCGGUGGUGACGGUAGUGGUAGAAGAAGCACCGGCUAACUACGUG